CCGCCUUCCCUACGCUCGCUUCGCCGGCGACAGAAGCAGACAGAACCAGCAUCUGGUCCCUUGGGUGGUGGAGGUCGUUGUCUUCUUGUUUUGGCUGUUAGUUCAGUUGGGUGUUACAGUCAGCUUCCUUCACUGUCGGUCCCAGGUGCUUCCUUCGGCCCUGUUCUUUCAGUGAAAUUAGAAUUUUAUGGUGGUGGUUAUUAUUGUUUUAUGUGGUUUUUUAGAAUUGUCGAAGCUGAAUACUAGGGAUUUAGAAUGGUAUUUCUUCAUUGUUCAUGGUAUUUCAUUACUGUAAAUUUUUACUACACUUGAAAAGUUAUCAUAGUUGAAUUUGUUGUUGUAAAUUAUCAUUGAGUUAAAUUUGUUGUUGUGAGUUGAAUUGUUGCUGAACAUAUCACUGAGCAAGUUUUUUUAUUGCUAGAUAACAUUACUGUUCUUUUGUUUCUAAUUUGCUGAAUUGUUGCCC
Non-coding RNA from Arachis ipaensis, 466 nucleotides. NCBI's taxonomy places the organism in Eukaryota, Viridiplantae, Streptophyta, Magnoliopsida, Fabales, Fabaceae. The record is from RefSeq and is a predicted model, not a curated record.